GACGAACCGAGCGAACUUUGUUCGGAAUCACUGGGCUUAAAGGGAGCGUAGGCGGGCUAUCAAGUCUGGGGUGAAAUCCCACGGCUCAACCGUGGAACUGCCUCAGAUACUGACGGCCUCGAGGGAGAUAGGGGCAUGCGGAACUGUAGGUGGAGCGGUGAAAUGCGUUGAUAUCUACAGGAACUCCGGUGGCGAAAGCGGCGUGCUGGAUCUCUUCUGACGCUGAGGAUCGAAAGCUAGGGGAGCAAACGGG
This 253-nucleotide ribosomal RNA is filed under the name uncultured bacterium. Its description in RNAcentral is "partial 16S ribosomal RNA". It matches the Rfam family "Bacterial small subunit ribosomal RNA", at positions 524 to 776 of the family's 1533-position model. The record is from RNAcentral.